Long non-coding RNA from Notothenia coriiceps (black rockcod), 256 nucleotides. RefSeq lists it as uncharacterized. The record is from RefSeq and is a predicted model, not a curated record. NCBI's taxonomy places the organism in Eukaryota, Metazoa, Chordata, Actinopteri, Perciformes, Nototheniidae. The transcript has 2 exons.
UUCUGCAGGAUUGUGGUCACAGCUGACAUGAACAAAGGAGUGGUUUCCAGCAGCGCUAAGCUCUACAACUACAUGCUGGACCUGAAACUCAGCCACAGUCUGGCGUCGGGUGUGAGUGACCAUUACCCUGUGGAGGUGCAGCUGUCCUGAGACUCAAGAACCGCUUUAAAAUCCUCCAGGAGGAAUUUUAAUUAGGAUUACUCUAAUUUCGGCAACCAUCUUUGAAUUGACCAAAAAUAAACACAUUCGCAGAUUA